GACGGUGCGCAGGCUGGGGGAGGGGCCGGAAGGGGCCCGCGGGGUCGGGGCGCGCCCCCGGCUUCCCCGCCUCCCCCCCAGCCUAGCGCCUCCGGCUGCUCCCUCCGCGAUCCGGACCCGCCGUCGUAGAGCGGAGGGCUGGGUAACCAGGACAUCCAGGCUUCAGUCCCGGUUUAGGCUCUGAUUACCUGAGCAUCUUGGGCAACUCACCACCUUCCCCGUUCGCCUCCUAGCCUCAGUUUCCCCGACUAUGAAUGGAGUGGUUGGACCAGGUUUCCAAGGACAUUCCCAGCACACACUACUUUAUAUGGCUCUGGGGUAGGGCGGGGAGGACUCAGGGCUACGUAAUUUUUCACCCUCUUCCCAGGUGAAGACUAUUUUUUUUCAACAGAUGACACCCACCAUUGUAUCCUGAACGGGGGAAUGUCAGUUGUAAGAGCGGAGAGAGUCUCUGUACCCACCACCUCCAUUGUACAGAGGGGGCCGGCAGCUCAGAGACAGUGCGGACCAUGUGGGUCACACAGCGCAUGGGAGGCAGGGGCGGGGCGCCAGCUGCCAAGAUGGCAAGGAGACUGCCUGAGCACAGAGCCGAGGCAGGGGCUUCCUGUCUGCGAGGAGGCCCCGGUGGCUGUUCUCCCACUGCCCAUACCCUUCUGGUCUCCAUCAGUGACUGCUACAGCGCCGUGGCCCUGUUGCCAGCCUCCAUAAGAGGUGUGGAGGUGGUAGCCUCCCUCCACCCACCCUAACCCUAGUAAGCGGACAGCCAGGAUCCCAACCAGACAGUUUUGCCCCAGUGCUGGGCCUCCUCUCUUCCCGGCCCCCAGUUCUCAGGGGAGGCCCAGCUUUCCUGGGGAAUAAAGCCCCUUUCUAUUUCCU
RNAcentral lists this long non-coding RNA (876 nucleotides) under Rhinopithecus bieti (black snub-nosed monkey). RNAcentral describes it as "lncRNA (ENSRBIG00000045720.1)". Lineage: Eukaryota; Metazoa; Chordata; Mammalia; Primates; Cercopithecidae. The record is from RNAcentral.